RNAcentral lists this transfer RNA (73 nucleotides) under Chlorella variabilis. RNAcentral's name for it is "tRNA-Ala". Lineage: Eukaryota; Viridiplantae; Chlorophyta; Trebouxiophyceae; Chlorellales; Chlorellaceae. The record is from RNAcentral.
UGGAAACGAUCGGAUUUGAACCGAUGACUUUAUGCGUGCAAAGCAUACGUUCUACCAACUGAACUACGUCCCC